RNAcentral lists this ribosomal RNA (460 nucleotides) under uncultured bacterium. RNAcentral describes it as "partial 16S ribosomal RNA". It matches the Rfam family "Bacterial small subunit ribosomal RNA", at positions 338 to 795 of the family's 1533-position model. The record is from RNAcentral.
CCUACGGGAGGCAGCAGUGAGGAAUAUUGGUCAAUGGACGGAAGUCUGAACCAGCCAUGCCGCGUGCAGGAAGACGGCUCUAUGAGUUGUAAACUGCUUUUGUACAAGGGUAAACCUGAAUACGUGUAUUCAGCUGAAAGUACUGUACGAAUAAGGAUCGGCUAACUCCGUGCCAGCAGCCGCGGUAAGACGGAGGAUCCAAGCGUUAUCCGGAUUUAUUGGGUUUAAAGGGUGCGUAGGCGGAUUGAUAAGUUAGAGGUGAAAUGUCCGAGCUUAACUCGGGAACUGCCUCUAAUAAGGUGGAUCUAGAGAGUAGAUGCGGUAGGCGGAAUGUAUGGUGUAGCGGUGAAAUGCUUAGAGAUCAUACAGAACACCGAUUGCGAAGGCAGCUUACCAAUCUAUAUCUGACGUUGAGGCACGAAAGCGUGGGGAGCAAACAGGAUUAGAUACCCCAGUAGUC